RNAcentral lists this ribosomal RNA (440 nucleotides) under uncultured bacterium. RNAcentral describes it as "partial 16S ribosomal RNA". It matches the Rfam family "Bacterial small subunit ribosomal RNA", at positions 338 to 795 of the family's 1533-position model. The record is from RNAcentral.
CCUACGGGUGGCAGCAGUGGGGGAUAUUGCACAAUGGGGGAAACCCUGAUGCAGCGACGCCGCGUGAGUGAUGACGUAUUUCGGUAUGUUAAGCUCUAUCAGCAGGGAAGAAAAUGACAGUACCUGACCAAGAAGCCACGGCUAACUACGUGCCAGCAGCCGCGGUAAUACGGAGGGGGCAAGAGUUAUACGGAUUUACUGGGUGUAAAGGGGGCGUAGGCGGUUAGGUAAGUCUGGAGUGAAAGCCCGGGGCCCAACCCCGGGACUGCUUUGGAAACUGUGGAACUGGAGGACAGGUGGGGCAGGCGGAAUGCCUGGUGUAGCGGUGAAAUGCGUAGAGAUCAGGAGGAACACCGGCGGCGAAGGCGGCCUGCUGAACUGAAACUGACGUUGAGGCUCGAAAGCGUGGGUAGCAAACAGGAUUAGAUACCCGAGUAGUC